UACAGAGGGUGCAAGCGUUAAUCGGAAUUACUGGGCGUAAAGCGUGCGUAGACGGUUAUGUAAGUCGGGUGUGAAGGCCCCGGGCUCAACCUGGGAAUGCCAUUCGAGACUGCGUAGCUAGGGUGCGGAAGAGGGAAGCGGAAUUUCCGGUGUAGCGGUGAAAUGCGUAGAGAUCUGGAGGAAUACCGAUGGCGAAGGCAGCCAUCUGGCCUAACACUGACGCUGAGGUACGAAAGCAUGGGGAGCAAACAGG
Molecule: unclassified non-coding RNA, 253 nt
Filed under: uncultured Gammaproteobacteria bacterium
Lineage: Bacteria; Pseudomonadati; Pseudomonadota; Gammaproteobacteria
Description: contains 16S-23S intergenic spacer region
Rfam family: Bacterial small subunit ribosomal RNA
Source: RNAcentral